CCCCGCACACAGUGUAUUAUAACUGCAGCUAUAAGGUUAUGGUGUAAGGAGGUCCCCUGUCUCCCCGCACACAGUGUAUUAUAACUGUAGCUAUAAGGUUAUGGUGUAAGGAGGUCCCCUGUCUCCCUGCACACUGUGUAUUAUAACUGCCUAUGCUGGUAUAUGGUGUAAGGAGGUCCCCUGUCUCCCCGCACACAGUGUAUUAUAACUGUAGCUAUAAGGUUAUGGUGUAAGGAGGUCCCCUGUCUCCCUGCACACAGUGUAUUAUAACUGCAGCUAUAAGGUUAUGGUGUAAGGAGGUCCCCUGUCUCCCCGCCCAAAGUGUAUAAUAACUAUAGCUAUAAGGUUAUGGUGUAAGGUGGUACCAUGUCUCCCACACACAGUGUAUUAUAACUGCGGCUAUAAGGUUAUUGUGUAAGGAGUUCCCCUGUCUCCCCGCACACAGUGUAUUAUAACUGCAGCUAUAAGGUUAUGGUGUAAGGAGGUCCCCUGUCUCCCCGCACACAGUGUAUUAUAACUGCAGCUAUAAGGUUAUGGUGUAAGGAGGUCCCCUGUCUCCCGCACACAGUGUAUUAUAACUGCAGCUAUAAGGUUAUGGUGUAAGGAGGUCCCCUGUCUCCCCGCACACAGUGUAUUAUAACUGCAGCUAUAAGGUUAUGGUGUAAGGAGGUCCCCUGUCUCCCUGCACACAGUGUAUUAUAACUGCAGCUAUAAGGUUAUGGUGUAAGGAGGUCCCCUGUCUCCCCGCACACAGUGUAUUAUAACUGCAGCUAUAAGGUUAUGGUGUAAGGAGGUCCCCUGUCUCCCCACACACAGUGUAUUAUAACUGCAGCUAUAAGGUUAUGGUGUAAGGAGGUCCCCUGUCUCCCCGCACACAGUGUAUUAUAACUGCAGCUAUAAGGUUAUGGUGUAAGGAGGUCCCCUGUCUCCCCGCACACAGUGUAUUAUAACUGCAGCUAUAAGGUUAUUGUGUAAGGAGGUCCCCUGUCUCCCCGCACACAGUGUAUUAUAACUGCAGCUAUAAGGUUAUGGUGUAAGGAGGUCCCCUGUCUCCCCGCACACAGUGUAUAAUAACUGCAGCUAUAAGGUUAUGGUGUAAGGAGGUCCCCUGUCUCCCCGCACACACUGUAUUAUAACUGCAGCUAUAAGGUUAUUGUGUAAGGAGUUCCCCUGUCUCCCCGCACACAGUGUAUUAUAACUGCAGCUAUAAGGUUAUGGUGUAAGGAGGUCCCCUGUCUCCCUGCACACAGUGUAUUAUAACUGUAGCUAUAAGUAGUUAUGGUGUAAGGAGGUCCCCUGUCUCCCUGCACACUGUGUAUUAUAACUGCGGCUAUAAGGUUAUGGUGUAAGGAGGUCCUUCUUGUCUCCUUGCACAUAUCUGAUCUUGUAACAAUCUUAUUUUUAUUAUAUUUCAAUGUAUGAUAUGGUAUUCAUGUUUUCGCUGUUAAACCCUGUAGUUAUGUGUGACUUUAGAAUGUAAAACUUAUUUCAUGGCUGUGUGCAUCGGUUUAAUAAAAAAAAAUAACUUUCCUGAGGAUGAACAUUUAUGUUUAACUGGAAUGUAGUUCUUUCAUUGUUUGCAGUCAAACCAUCUCCUAAUUUCCAUAUCCCAAUCUUAAAAAUAAAUAUUUUAUUCUCAGGCCGGUUAGGUGUAACUCACUAAUAUUCACGGUUUUAUGAUCUUACUCAAGUUUCAGCUUAGUUUGACAGUACUAGAAAUUGGGGCGAUGACCACACUGGAGCAGACCAUGCUACGGACUUGAAUACCUUGGGUUUCGGUCAUAACAAGCUUGAUGAUUGAUCAGCAAUCUGGACUUUUCCAAAUUCAUCAAGUACAUUUUAUAGAGGAUUCCUUCCUGACAAACUGCACCAUCCCUGCAAGUUUUAGGUAAAUGUGAUCAACCUGCUACAAUGACCAUCUUCCAUUAUACAGAGAUCAAAUCUGUUAGCACACAAGUAGCUGUUAGUAAGAUUUCAGAAACAGGUUUACAGUCAAGGCCAUGUUUUUGUGAAUUGAACUGAAUUUCUCGUUAUUGGUGCAAAUAUGGCACACAUUCCAACAGUAGAGCAAUCUCCAUUGAAAUAAAUGAUAUGCAUGUUUAUCUAGAUCAACCAUGGAGAGCUACAGGAGGCCAGGAACUAGCUUAAGAGUGCCCAUUCUUGUCUUGAAUGAAAUGCAGGGAGAUAGAAG
RNAcentral lists this long non-coding RNA (2191 nucleotides) under Pelobates cultripes (western spadefoot toad). The record is from RNAcentral. Lineage: Eukaryota; Metazoa; Chordata; Amphibia; Anura; Pelobatidae.